CAGCAGCCGCCACGGGAAUACAGAGGGUGCGAGCGUUAAUCGGAUUUACUGGGCGUAAAGCGUGCGUAGGCGGCUAAUUGAGUCGGAUGUGAAAUCCCCGAGCUUAACUUGGGAAUUGCAUUCGAUACUGGUUAGCUAGAGUGUGGGAGAGGAUGGUAGAAUUCCAGGUGUAGCGGUGAAAUGCGUAGAGAUCUGGAGGAAUACCGAUGGCGAAGGCAGCCAUCUGGCCUAACACUGACGCUGAGGUACGAAAGCAUGGGGAGCAAACAGGAUUAGAUACCCCAGUAGUCCCUGUCUCUUAUAC
This 304-nucleotide ribosomal RNA is filed under the name uncultured bacterium. Its description in RNAcentral is "partial 16S ribosomal RNA". It matches the Rfam family "Bacterial small subunit ribosomal RNA", at positions 509 to 807 of the family's 1533-position model. The record is from RNAcentral.